UACGUAGGGGGCAAGCGUUAUCCGGAUUUACUGGGUGUAAAGGGAGCGUAGACGGCAGAGCAAGUCUGAAGUGAAAGCCCGCGGCCCAACUGCGGGACUGCUUUGGAAACUGCCCGGCUAGAGUGCUGGAGAGGUAAGCGGAAUUCCUAGUGUAGCGGUGAAAUGCGUAGAUAUUAGGAGGAACACCAGUGGCGAAGGCGGCUUACUGGACAGUAACCGACGUUGAGGCUCGAAAGCGUGGGGAGCAAACAGG
Molecule: ribosomal RNA, 253 nt
Filed under: uncultured bacterium
Lineage: Bacteria
Description: partial 16S ribosomal RNA
Rfam family: Bacterial small subunit ribosomal RNA
Source: RNAcentral